RNAcentral lists this ribosomal RNA (501 nucleotides) under uncultured bacterium. RNAcentral describes it as "partial 16S ribosomal RNA". It matches the Rfam family "Bacterial small subunit ribosomal RNA", at positions 30 to 523 of the family's 1533-position model. The record is from RNAcentral.
AUUGAACGCUGGCGGCAGGCUUAACACAUGCAAGUCGAGCGGGGGAAGGUAGCUUGCUACCGGACCUAGCGGCGGACGGGUGGGUAAUGCUUAGGAAUCUGCCUAUUAGUGGGGGACAACAUCUCGAAAGGGAUGCUAAUACCGCAUACGCCCUACGGGAGAAAGCAGGGGAUCUUCGGACCUUGCGCUAAUAGAUGAGCCUAAGUCGGAUUAGCUAGUUGGUGGGGUGAAGGCCUACCAAGGCGACGAUCUGUAGCGGGUCUGAGAGGAUGAUCCGCCACACUGGGACUGAGACACGGCCCAGACUCCUACGGGAGGCAGCAGUGGGGAAUAUUGGACAAUGGGGGGAACCCUGAUCCAGCCAUGCCGCGUGUGUGAAGAAGGCCUUAUGGUUGUAAAGCACUUUAAGCGAGGAGGAGGCUACUCUAGUUAAUACCUAGGGAUAGUGGACGUUACUCGCAGAAUAAGCACCGGCUAACUCUGUGCCAGCCGCCGCCGUAA